This 292-nucleotide ribosomal RNA is filed under the name uncultured bacterium. RNAcentral's name for it is "partial 16S ribosomal RNA". It matches the Rfam family "Bacterial small subunit ribosomal RNA", at positions 505 to 796 of the family's 1533-position model. The record is from RNAcentral.
GUGCCAGCAGCCGCGGUAAUACAGAGGUCUCAAGCGUUGUUCGGAAUCACUGGGCGUAAAGGGUGCGUAGGUGGCGUGGUAAGUCAGAUGUGAAAGCCCGGGGCUCAACCCCGGAAUUGCAUCCGAUACUGCCAUGCUAGAGUACUGAAGAGGUGACUAGAAUUCUCGGUGUAGCAGUGAAAUGCGUAGAUAUCGAGAGGAAUACCAACGGCGAAGGCAGGUCACUGGGCAGUUACUGACACUGAGGCACGAAGGCCAGGGGAGCAAACGGGAUUAGAAACCCCGGUAGUCC